GCCUUCGAAGAUCAGUGGCGAUCGUUCCCUUUCAAUACUGGUGAAAUGCUUGAAUUGGCCACGGGAAAGGCGGGGUUCGACUCCCCGCGAAGGCA
Molecule: non-coding RNA, 95 nt
Organism: Mycena vitilis
Lineage: Eukaryota; Fungi; Basidiomycota; Agaricomycetes; Agaricales; Mycenaceae
Source: the annotation of a GenBank genome assembly